UACAGAGGUCUCAAGCGUUGUUCGGAUUCAUUGGGCGUAAAGGGUGCGUAGGCGGCGCGGUAGGUCGGGUGUGAAAUCUUGGAGCUUAACUCCGAAACUGCAUUCGAUACUGCCGUGCUUGAGGACUGGAGAGGAGACUGGAAUUUACGGUGUAGCGGUGAAAUGCGUAGAUAUCGUAAGGAAGACCAGUGGCGAAGGCGGGUCUCUGGACAGUUCCUGACGCUGAGACGCGAAAGCGUGGGGAGCAAACAGG
RNAcentral lists this ribosomal RNA (253 nucleotides) under uncultured bacterium. Its description in RNAcentral is "partial 16S ribosomal RNA". It matches the Rfam family "Bacterial small subunit ribosomal RNA", at positions 524 to 776 of the family's 1533-position model. The record is from RNAcentral.